UGGGGGUGCGUCACUUGCUGACCUGGCUGUAGCGUGGCGUGGCAUCGGCCGUGAUGUGUCUUAGACCCAAAAUAUACCUUAUCAGCUAUUGCUUUCUUUCUCGUUUCUCUCAUUCCUUUUUUUUUUUUUGUAGCCUAAUGCUUUGAUCACUGGAUUUAUUAUGUUUGCGUAUUGGUCAUCCGAGUUUAAAAUAAGUCUUUAUAAAUACUUUUUCAAAAGUG
Molecule: long non-coding RNA, 221 nt
Filed under: Musa acuminata (dwarf banana)
Lineage: Eukaryota; Viridiplantae; Streptophyta; Magnoliopsida; Zingiberales; Musaceae
Description: long non-coding RNA (MACU_LNC011528)
Source: RNAcentral